RNAcentral lists this ribosomal RNA (253 nucleotides) under uncultured bacterium. RNAcentral describes it as "partial 16S ribosomal RNA". It matches the Rfam family "Bacterial small subunit ribosomal RNA", at positions 524 to 776 of the family's 1533-position model. The record is from RNAcentral.
UACGGGGGGGGUAAGCGUUGUUCGGAAUUACUGGGCGUAAAGGGCUCGUAGGCGGCCAACUAAGUCAUACGUGAAAUCCCUCAGCUUAACUGGGGAACUGCGUGUGAUACUGGAUGGCUUGGAUUUGGGAGAGGGAUGCGGAAUUCCAGGUGUAGCGGUGAAAUGCGUAGAUAUCUGGAGGAACACCGGUGGCGAAAGCGGCUUACUGGGUCUCUUCUGACGCUGAGAUACGAAAGCUAGGGGAGCGAAGGGG